RNAcentral lists this ribosomal RNA (405 nucleotides) under uncultured bacterium. RNAcentral's name for it is "partial 16S ribosomal RNA". It matches the Rfam family "Bacterial small subunit ribosomal RNA", at positions 30 to 526 of the family's 1533-position model. The record is from RNAcentral.
AUUGAACGCUAGCGGGAUGCCUUACACAUGCAAGUCGAACGAGUGGCGGACGGGUGAGUAAUAUAUCGGAACGUGCCCAGUAGAGGGGGAUAACUACUCGAAAGAGUGGCUAAUACCGCAUACUCUUGGAGCGGCCGCUAGUGGAUUAGCUAGUUGGUGGGGUAAAGGCUCACAAAGGCCACGAUCCGUAGCUGGUUUGAGAGGACGACCAGCCACACUGGGACUGAGACAAGGCGCAGACUCCUACGUGAGGCAGCAGUGGGGAAUUUUGGACAAUGGGGGAAAGCCUGAUCCAGCCAGCCCGAGUGUAUGAGAAGGCCUUCGGGUUGUAAAGUACUGUCGGCAGGGAAGCGGUAUCUGCAGAAUAAGCACCGGCUAACUACGUGCCAGCAGCCGCGGUAAUUC